AAAGGAGUAUCCGUACUCUUCAACCCUUUGUGAACCUACCAUUGUCAGUUGCUUCGGCGGGAGGCCCCUGGGAGGGGCCCCGGGGCCCGGCCUGAGCCGGGCUCCCGCCGGAGGAGCGCAAAACAAACUCUUGUUGUAACCCAGUGGCACGUCCGAGUUAAAACAAAAAACAAGUUAAAACUUUCAACAACGGAUCUCUUGGUUCU
Molecule: unclassified non-coding RNA, 206 nt
Filed under: rhizosphere metagenome
Description: partial ribosomal RNA internal transcribed spacer region
Source: RNAcentral